GAUUUCUGGCGAACCGUUGCGGCCCGUGCCCUUCGCCGUGUCGUGUUUGUCAUCCUUCCAGAGAGCUGCGUCUACCAUUCAUUUGGCCGGACGACGCGAUCUGGAUCGAUUACUUUGAAAAAAUUAGAGUGUUUAAAGCAGGCUUAUGCCUUGAAUACAUUAGCAUGGAAUAAUAAUUUAGGACUUCGGUUCUAUUUUGUUGGUUUCUGGGGGUGCUAGUAUUCCGCGGCCAGAGGUGAAAUUCUUGGAUUCGCGGAAGACUAACUACUGCGAAAGCAUU
Molecule: ribosomal RNA, 280 nt
Filed under: uncultured Paracercomonas
Lineage: Eukaryota; Cercozoa; Cercomonadida; Cercomonadidae
Description: partial 18S ribosomal RNA
Rfam family: Eukaryotic small subunit ribosomal RNA (bases 99-280)
Source: RNAcentral